GUGUUUGGAGCUGGAGACGGCCUGGGUGCUGGCGAAGCGGAGGCCCGAGGUGAGUGGUUCCCCCGCCCUACCUCCGCGGCGGCCGCAGAAAAGCGGGAAGAGAGGGAUGCUCUUGGGCCGUAGUGGGGCCCGAAUCCACUUCUGCGGCGCGGAGGCGCUCCCGCCAGGCUUCACCGCAGCGUGGACCUCUUCCCGUUGCUCCUCCUCCCGCCACACGGGUCUGUUCGCUCCCGGGGCGAGGAAGAUGACCCCUGCCUAGUCCGGGCAACCCCAGCUCUUCUUCCACUCUCUUGUGUAGCCUCUGAAGCGCAGUUGCCGGCCCCACCCCCAGUUCCCUGCGUUUUCCUCGCCCCUUGCCUCUCUCGGCAUGGUCUCAGGGCACAGCAAGGUGUGUUCACCUGUGCGCGCCGUCCAGGAUCAGACGCUGACGGGCUACAAUGCGGAAGGCGGCGAGGCCUCGGGUUCGCCCCUCGUUUCUCCUUGCCCUGCCCGCCCACCUCCGGCAGGCCACCCUUGACUUCUUGCCCCCUUCCCCUCUGCACCUGGCAGUGGGCUAACGUCACGGCGUGUGCAGCUUCCGGGUUUAGCAAAGCCGCGGACCCUGCCCGGGCUCCGACCACUGGGCGUGUGGGCAUGAACGUGUUCAGAAACGUUUCCUUCCCCCUCGUCUUUCAAAGCUACUUAGAGAGGGGGGACGUGAACCACUGGAUGGGAAAUCAGGAACUGUUUUAUUAAGCAGUUUGCCCUUUGGAGUGGAUUUUAGAGUUAUUCCCCGAAUGUGCUAUGGUUUUGUGGCCCCUCCUUCAUAUCUUUGCUUGGUUUUUCUUUCUGGCUAUCCUCUGCAAUUAGUAGAGCCUUGUAACAUUUGUUUAGUACAUUCAAAAAGUAAUAGAUAAGGCCCCUUUAGCGGAGCACUCGAUGUUGCACUUCAGCCCCGCUCCUCACUGUAAAUUGACAUUUCCUCUUCAAUUCCAGUUAAUACACGAGGAACUCAUGCAAAGGAGGGGACUUUCGGAAAUCCAAACUUAGAGUGCCUUGUAUUUAGAAUCCGGAAGGAAAAGGAAAUGAAAUGUGAAGAAACUCAUGCACCAAACUCGAACUGGGUAUAUGUGAUGUUACCUAGGUAUUAUUUUUGAAGAAUUUCUGACUGACAAUAAAAUAUAGAGUAGAAUACUUUCAUGUAAGGCACGAAACUUAAAUUUAAUGCAAGGUUGUCUGAUCCUUGUUGAGAUUAUUAAGUCUAAGGUGUAUGAACAGCUAAGAAGAGUUCUGUGUUCUCCCAUCACACGAUAGAUGUAAAAAAGAAAGCUGUGAAUUUAUUUACUAUUAUCAUCUCUCUUAGGUUAGGAAGAAGUCAAGUGUGGAAAAAAAUUGUCUUCAGGAGAGGAAGAAGCUUGUAGAUAUAAUUGAACAGCAUCUUGAUUUCUUUUUUGCCAAGAUGUUACUGUUGGCUGGAUAUUUUCUUGUAUUGUUCAAUGAAAAUCAUAAAAUUAUUAUUCAGUGAUUACUUAAUGGACACCAGAAUAACCAAACCCUUUUCCAUUCUUUUUUUUGCAAAGGCUGGUCUCCUUUGGCCUGCACGUCCUGAUCUUUCCCAUAGUAGAACUGGGCUGGGUGUCUCUUUUUUUUUUUUUUUUUGAGACGGCGUCUUCCACUGCUGUCGCUUGGGCUGGAGUGCAGUGGCGCGAUCUCGGCUCACUGCAACCUCUGCUUCCCAAGUUCAGCGAUUCUCUUGCCUUAGCCUCCUGAGUAGCUGGGAUUACAGGCGCGUGCCACCACGCUCAGCUAAUUUUUGUAUUUUUAGUAGAGAGGUGGUUUCACCAUGUUGGCCAGGCUGGUCUUGAACUCAUGACCUCGUGAUCCGCCCGACUCGGCCUCCUAAACUUUUGCAAAGCUGUAUCUCUAGGAAUUGAAUUGGAGGAUUACUGAAGCACAGUAGCAUUCCCUGACUUCCUGCAACGCAGGGAAAUAAUCAGUUAAAAAGAAGAUGCCACUGGAAGUAAAAUUUCAACUGUUUUGUUUUUGAAACAGUAUAGCUUUUCAUAAUGUCAACUAAGCAAUAACUUGGCUUUUUGGUGUGUUGGCUACCCUACUGUUGGCCAUAAAAUAGGCACUCUGGUACUUCAGUUGAUGAAUGUUUUUGCUAAAGUUGGACUGUACUGAAUUUCAUUCUUAUUUUGUAUGCUAAUUAGUGUAAAAUAAGGAAGUAAUUGUUGGAAUGCAUACUGUAUUCUUAGGUUUUAUUAGUACAUUUGGUUGCUUAAACUUAAGAAGAAGAGUAAACAACAACUGGAUUAUAAUUGAACUAUCUUUCUUUUUUGUUUUUUUGAGACAGGGUCUCUCUCUGUCGCCCAGGCUGGAGUGCAGUGGUGCAAUCACAGCUCACUGCAGCCUUGACUUCCUGGGCUAUCCCACCUUAGCCUUCCAAGUAGCUGGGACCACAGGCACACGGCACGACACCAGGCUAAUUUUUGUAUUUUUGGUAGAAAUGGGGUUUCUCUGUGUCGCCUAGGUUGAUCUCGAACUGCUGAGCUUAAGCAGCCCUCCCGCUCCAGCCUCCCAAAGUGCUGGGAUUACAGGCGCGAGACACCGCACCUGGCCGGUAGAUGCAUUUGAAUCCAAUAUAUGGCCUUUGUGUUGAGGCAUGGCAAUACAAAGGAAAAACACGUUCAAGUUUUUAUUCACAAAAUACAGAGAAUACAUGAAGUUCCUCACUAAGUGAUCAUUAUGCCAAAAUCAAAAUUUCAGGUACUUUUAGUGGUGUUGAGAUGUAUUGAUUUAUUUUCUGUCAACUACUGUAUAAUUAUUUUUUUUCUGUCUACCCUCAGUAAGAAGACUGUUAGAAUGCCCUUGGUAACACAGAGGCUGAGAGAUCCUGACAUAAAUCCUUGUUUGUCGAUCCUAUUGUACCUUUUAAAUGAUGCUUCUCUUAUGUCUGUAAGGAAUCUGAUGCUUCCACCAGAUGUCUGGAUGAAAAUAACUAUGACAGGGAGAGGUGUUCCACUUACUUCUUGAGGUACAAAAACUGCCGGAGAUUCUGGAAUUCUAUCAUGAUGCAGAGAAGAAAGAACGGAGUGAAGCCAUUUAUGCCUACAGCAGCAGAAAGAGAUGAAAUCUUGAGAGCAGUGGGAAAUAUGCCCUAUUGAAUGUUUGCAUUAAAAGUGUUUAUAUAACUU
This 3176-nucleotide small RNA is filed under the name Pongo abelii (Sumatran orangutan). RNAcentral describes it as "retained intron". Lineage: Eukaryota; Metazoa; Chordata; Mammalia; Primates; Hominidae. The record is from RNAcentral.